This 262-nucleotide ribosomal RNA is filed under the name uncultured prokaryote. RNAcentral's name for it is "partial 16S ribosomal RNA". It matches the Rfam family "Bacterial small subunit ribosomal RNA", at positions 524 to 784 of the family's 1533-position model. The record is from RNAcentral.
UACGGAGGGUGCAAGUGUUAUUCGGAAUCACUGGGCGUAAAGAGCACGUAGGCGGAUAGGCAAGUCAGAUGUGAAAUCCCGGAGCUCAACUCCGGAACUGCAUUUGAUACUGCCUGUCUUGAGUGAGGUAGAGGGGAGUGGAAUUCCCUGUGUAGAGGUGAAAUUCGUAGAUAUCGGGAGGAACACCAGAGGCGAAGGCGACUCCCGUGGGCCUCUACUGACGCUGAGGUGCGAAAGCGUGGGGAGCAAACAGGAUUAGAUA